Molecule: ribosomal RNA, 255 nt
Filed under: uncultured bacterium
Lineage: Bacteria
Description: partial 16S ribosomal RNA
Rfam family: Bacterial small subunit ribosomal RNA
Source: RNAcentral
CGAGGCAAAGCCGCGAGGCAGAGCGAAUCGCUAAAAGCCGUCCCAGUUCGGAUUGCAGGCUGCAACCCGCCUGCAUGAAGUUGGAAUCGCUAGUAAUCGCGGAUCAGCAUGCCGCGGUGAAUACGUUCCCGGGCCUUGUACACGCCGCCCGUCACACCAUGAGAGUCGGGAACACCCGAAGUCCGUAGCCUGACCGCAAGGGGGGCGCAGCCGAAGGUGGGUUCGAUAAUUGGGGUGAAGUCGUAACAAGGUAGC